This 253-nucleotide ribosomal RNA is filed under the name uncultured bacterium. RNAcentral's name for it is "partial 16S ribosomal RNA". It matches the Rfam family "Bacterial small subunit ribosomal RNA", at positions 524 to 776 of the family's 1533-position model. The record is from RNAcentral.
UACGAACUGUGCAAACGUUAUUCGGAAUCACUGGGCUUAAAGGGUGCGUAGGCGGCUUAUCAAGUCGGGUGUGAAAGCCCCCGGCUUAACCGGGGAAUUGCGCCCUAAACUGACGAGCUGGAGUGGGACAGGGGUGUGUGGAACUUCCGGUGGAGCGGUGAAAUGUGUUGAUAUCGGAAGGAACGCCGGUGGCGAAAGCGACACACUGGGUCUCAACUGACGCUGAGGCACGAAAGCCAGGGGAGCGAACGGG